AGUAUUAGCUCAGUUGGAUAGAGCGUCCCCCUCCUAAGGGGAAGGCCGAGGGUUCGAAUCCUUCAUACUG
RNAcentral lists this transfer RNA (70 nucleotides) under Levyella massiliensis. It matches the Rfam family "tRNA". Rfam says of the family: Transfer RNA (tRNA) molecules are approximately 80 nucleotides in length. The record is from RNAcentral. Lineage: Bacteria; Bacillati; Bacillota; Clostridia; Eubacteriales. RNAcentral also lists the same sequence under 2 other names.